RNAcentral lists this ribosomal RNA (457 nucleotides) under Porphyromonas sp. oral taxon 279. RNAcentral's name for it is "bacterial SSU rRNA". It matches the Rfam family "Bacterial small subunit ribosomal RNA", at positions 28 to 483 of the family's 1533-position model. The record is from RNAcentral. Lineage: Bacteria; Pseudomonadati; Bacteroidota; Bacteroidia; Bacteroidales; Porphyromonadaceae.
GAUGAACGCUAGCGAUAGGCUUAACACAUGCAAGUCGAGGGGCAGCAUGGUCUUAGCUUGCUAAGACUGAUGGCGACCGGCGCACGGGUGCGUAACGCGUAUGCAACUUGCCUCACAGAGGGGGAUAACCCGUCGAAAGACGGACUAAUACCGCGUACACUCUAUGUUGGGCAUCCAAUGUAGAGGAAAUGAAAUUCGCUGUGAGAUAGGCAUGCGUCCCAUUAGCUAGUUGGUGAGGUAACGGCUCACCAAGGCGACGAUGGGUAGGGGAACUGAGAGGUUGAACCCCCACACUGGUACUGAGACACGGACCAGACUCCUACGGGAGGCAGCAGUGAGGAAUAUUGGUCAAUGGGCGAGAGCCUGAACCAGCCAAGUCGCGUGAAGGAUGACUGUCUUAUGGAUUGUAAACUUCUUUUAUACGGGAAUAACAAUGAGUCACGUGUGACUGCCCUGC